AUUGAACGCUGGCGGCAGGCUUAACACAUGCAAGUCGAGCGGGGUGAUGGUGCUUGCACUAUCACUUAGCGGCGGACGGGUGAGUAAUGCUUAGGAAUCUGCCUAUUAGUGGGGGACAACAUCUCGAAAGGGAUGCUAAUACCGCAUACGUCCUACGGGAGAAAGCAGGGGAUCACUUGUGACCUUGCGCUAAUAGAUGAGCCUAAGUCGGAUUAGCCAGUUGGUGGGGUAAAGGCCUACCAAGGCGACGAUCUGUAGCGGGUCUGAGAGGAUGAUCCGCCACACUGGGACUGCGACACGGCCCAGACUCCUACGGGAGGCAGCAGUGGGGAAUAUUGGACAAUGGGGGGAACCCUGAUCCAGCCAUGCCGCGUGUGUGAAGAAGGCCUUAUGGUUGUAAAGCACUUUAAGCGAGGAGGAGGCUCUUUUGGUUAAUACCCAAGAUGAGUGGACGUUACUCGCAGAAUAAGCACCGGCUAACUCUGUGCCAGCCGCCGCUGUAA
Molecule: ribosomal RNA, 503 nt
Filed under: uncultured bacterium
Lineage: Bacteria
Description: partial 16S ribosomal RNA
Rfam family: Bacterial small subunit ribosomal RNA
Source: RNAcentral